AUACGUAGGGUGCAAGCGUUAAUCGGAAUUACUGGGCGUAAAGCGUGCGCAGGCGGUUCGGAAAGAAGGAUGUGAAAUCCCAGGGCUCAACCUUGGAACUGCAUUCUUAACUACCGAACUAGAGUAUGUCAGAGGGGGGUAGAAUUCCGCGUGUAGCAGUGAAAUGCGUAGAUAUGCGGAGGAAUACCGAUGGCGAAGGCAGCCCCCUGGGAUAAUACUGACGCUCAUGCACGAAAGCGUGGGUAGCAAACAGGAUUAGAUACCCUGGUAGUCCACGCCCUAAACGAUGUCAACUAGCUGUUGGGCCCUUCGGGGCUUAGUAGCGUAGCUAACGCGUGAAGUUGACCGCCUGGGGAGUACGGUCGCAGGAUUAAAACUCAAAUGAAUUGACGGGG
This 395-nucleotide ribosomal RNA is filed under the name uncultured bacterium. Its description in RNAcentral is "partial 16S ribosomal RNA". It matches the Rfam family "Bacterial small subunit ribosomal RNA", at positions 523 to 918 of the family's 1533-position model. The record is from RNAcentral.